CCGCCCCUUUCUUUCCCCGGAGUCCCUCCACCCCAUAACAAUACCUCGAAUUUCCAAAAGAGGUCACCAGACGCACAUGGGCCGCAACACACACAGUCAGGCUUCCAGCACAUUCUCCCCCAUUUGGAGGAUACUCGAAUGUCAGGUUUUUGGUUUUAUUAUGAUUUCAGAACUAGCUCAGCCCAUCUCUAAUUAUAAAACAUGGUUUUGUUUUGUUUUGUUUUUUCCUUUUUUUCUUGAUUAGGUCUGGAACAGCUCUAGAAUGAACACAUAAAAUUUAGCAAUUUAAAAUCUCUUUCUUUACUGCAAGUUUAAAUAGUUGUACAGAUAGUUUAUAAGCACAAUAUUUUAAGAAAAAAAAGUGGCUGGUCUACUAGGCAGCCUUUGUGCCACUUCAGUGCUAGAAAGUUAAAGAAAAAAAAAACUUUUGUGAUUUAAUAAUACUAUUUCUGUGGAAUAAUUAUAAAAGUAUGACCUUUUUAAAUCAACCUUAUUUGGAUGCAUCUGAACCAGCAGAGCUGUGUUAUAUUUUCUAUCUUUGCUAGAACUUCGUCAUUGAAGGACAAUUUCUUCAAAGUGGUUACAAUUCAUAAUGCAGCAGUUUCUCCAAAAACAAAAACAAAACACACACCACACACACGUGCUUUUCCAGUCACACACUCCUGAUCUGGAAACCAAGUUUUUGGACCUUCUGUUCCAAAACCUUUUGCAGGUCAACCUUUGUAUUUGAAAUUAUCCAAUCCAACUUGAAAUCAAUUGAAUAUUAAGGCGCUUUACUUCCGUGUGCUUUCAGUUUUUCCAUCAUGAGAUGAAUGAGCAUUACUCUAGAUAAAUUUCAAGACAGGAUACUAUAGGUGGCCUGCUGAGGCUGCCCCAUAUUUUAGAAAAUGUAAAAAUGGUGGUUUGGCCAUUAAUUUGUCUUCCAUUUGAUGAUACCGCAAAAUUCCGUGAAUCCAUUCCUUUGGCAUGGCGCUUUCCCUGGGCCUACAGUUGGUAUUACCUCUGUGCUCAGUGCCAGGCAAAACACUAGCUCAAAGGAGAGUCAAGGAAACCGCUGGCAGACGAUAACCAGUCGCAACUCGGUGACUUCGGUUUGUUGAACUUUGGCAGCCAGUUGGUGAGGGCCAGAUGUUAUUCCCUUUCUUAAAGAUACUCCAAGCCACAUGCCACUAACCACAAGCAAGCUGGCUGCAAGACUAAAGAGUGGAUAACAUAGUUUAUUUUUACAUUGUCUUAUUAUAGAGAAGUAAUAGACCUAUCAGAACCUGCACUGACCAACAAAUAAACACAUGUUGCCAAGAUGAAUCGGUCUCUAUCUCUAUUUGCUUAUUUUGGUACUGAAAGCAAUAGUUCCUCAUUCAAAUCACCACCCACUGUUCUCCCCCUUUGGGACAUGUUAGGACCAGGCCCUAUUCCAUGCCCCUCUUUAAUGGUGGAACAAAUGUUAAACUGCUCAUCUAAAGAUCAUGUUGAUAUUAUUCCAGGUUUUAAGAUCAACUUUUGUUACAUACUGUAAUUUAAAUAAACUGCAUUUACAUGCCUAGUUUCUGUAAUAUUGUGUAUACAAAACCCAAAUCUCUCAAAAUGUAAAUUAUGUAUACCUGCCAAGAUACCUUUUCCAGGGUGUCUGCGCACAUUUUAAGUUAAUUCACAUAAUAUAAAAAUUACUCAAUGUGACUGUUGAUUUGCUGAACUUUACAUAUCACAAAGUGAAUUAUUUGUGAUACUUUAGUUAAUAAAAUGGUAAAUUUUUUUCUCAGUUAUUGAACAAGCAAGCAUUAUCCAGUUGAUCUGGCAAUGACUUUUUGUGUGUGGGCCACAAUAUUGAUUUUCCCAUUAACAAUUUUUUUUUUGUUUUUUAAAUACUAAUAUGUUUCACACUAUAGUUUGUGUAACAACACGUGUUCGCAUUAUCUAUGUUGCUGUUACUUUUGUGCUUUUAUUCUUUUUAGACUUUAUAAAAAAAAAAAGCUCCUGUAAUUUGCACUUUCUCCCAAUCCUUAAAUCUCUUGUAUGGCAACCAAAAUUACUGUAAAAAAAUAAAUAUACUAUUGCA
Pongo abelii (Sumatran orangutan) is the source of this 2056-nucleotide long non-coding RNA. NCBI's taxonomy places the organism in Eukaryota, Metazoa, Chordata, Mammalia, Primates, Hominidae. The record is from Ensembl.